RNAcentral lists this long non-coding RNA (33971 nucleotides) under Gossypium barbadense (sea-island cotton). RNAcentral's name for it is "long non-coding RNA (GBAR_LNC010189)". Lineage: Eukaryota; Viridiplantae; Streptophyta; Magnoliopsida; Malvales; Malvaceae. The record is from RNAcentral.
ACAAAAGCUGUUUGGGACGAUGAGUUGACGUUGAUAUUUUGUGAACUUUGCGUAAAUGAAGUCAAUGCUGGCAAUAAACCGACAACUCAUCUAAACUCAAAGGGAUGGGAAAAUGUCAUUGCUCUUUUUCAAGCAAAAACACAAAAAAAUUAUGGAAAACCUCAAUUGAAAAAUAAGUGGGAUACAUUAAAAAAGGAAUGGAGGUUAUGGAGGGAGUUGCUUAAGGAAUCUACAGGUAUUGGAUGGUGUCCAUUGAAAAAGACGGUCGAUGCUACCGAAGAGUGGUGGGCUGAAAAAAUACAGGUUAAUGUUAACUUUAUCAUUAUUUUAAUGCAUAAAGUUUAUUAAAAUUAAUAAUUUACAGUUAUAAAAAUCUUAGUAUAACAUUUAACGUUUAACAUAUUAUGUAGGAAAAUCCUGAUUUUAAAGGAUUUAAGAAGAAAGGAAUUGAACCACGAUUGAAUGAGUUAAUGUGGCAAAUGUUUGGUGGCAUUGUAGCCACUGGAGAAAACGCAUGGGCACCUUCGUCUGGUGUUCUUCCACGUGGGGUUCCUAUGGGAGAUGAUGCACCUAAUGAGGGAUUUGGUGAUUCAGAUGAACAUAGUAACGAGAAUGAAGGUAUUCCCCCUGAUGAGGUACCAUCAAACCCUUCUCAUGGAAUCCCUAAUCGAAGAAAGGAAACACUUGGGGUUGUACACGGUAAGGGAAAAAAAUCAAGUUCAAGUAGAAAAUCAUCAAGAAAUACAUUAACUACUCAGAUUGAGAAAUUGUGUGAGAGUAUGGCUAGUCCAAGGAAGUCAGUGAACGAAAUUAUUUUUCCUCACUCUCAAUAUACUAUUUCAAAUGCAAUGGAUGCUUUGCGUGCUUUGGGAGAUGAAAUUCCAAAAAGAGAUGAACUGUACUAUUUUACCACCAAAAUGUUCCAAAUACCGGUGAAACGAGAAAUGUUUUUGAACUUAGAUCCAGAUGAUAGGGUUUGGUGGCUUCGACGUGAGUAUGCUGAACAAAAUCCAAUUGCAUCAUUUUCAUCCUUGGUAGCAACAUCCCCAUUUCCCUUCCAACCAUACCAUCAACCACCUCCACCAUCAGCUCCUUAGAAAUAUUAUUGUAAUAUAACUAUAAUACUUUUUUAUAUGUAAGACUAAUGUAUGCUACUUUGUAUGUUUGGUAUUUUUAUGUUAUGCUUUUAAUCAAGUUUCUGUGUUGUAUAGAAUGUCACGAGAUUUUAAAGGAUUUAUUUUCAUUUGAUUACUUUUUCAGGUUAUGGAUGAAUUUAACAAUAUGUAUAAUAGUUUUGAUAUGAAUUAUGAUACCUCUGAAUUAAGUGAAGAAGCUCAACGAAGAAUAGCCACAAUUGUUACCCAAGUUGAGCACAACAAUUAUCAUAAUGAGGAAGAAUAUGUGUUAAGCAGUGUAUUGGUACACCAUGAAACUUAUUUCACUAUGCAACCGCGUAUGGAUUCAAAUUAUACUGGUCAAAUGUGGGUGGACGAAGUAUUAAAUGGGCACGAUGAUCGUUGCAUGAUUAGUUUUAGAAUGCCAAAAAAUAUAUUUCACAGAUUGUUGCAUGAUUUGCAAACAAAUUAUGGCUUAAAGAAUGGGAAAGUAUUGGCGAUGGAGAAGUUAGCAUUAUCAUUGUACAUUCUUGGAAAUAGAGAAUCAAAUUCAAAUGCAACAGAGCGAUUUCAACGAUCUGGGGAAACUGUUAGUCGAAUUUUUACUGAUAUGUUGCAUAUAUUUGCUCGAAUGGGAAUAGACACGAUUAAACCCAUUGAAGGUCAAUUCGAGGAAGUACCGAACCAUAUUCGACAUGAUACAAGAUAUUGGCCUCACUUUAAGGUAAAAUUUACACAAUCUUUAUAUUUUUAAAACAUAAAUUAUUUCUAACUUUUAUCUCAUUACUUGUAUUUAUUUUAAAGGGUUGUAUUGGGGCCAUAGAUGGAACACACAUAAAAGCAUGCAUUUCGCCUUCUUCUCAAAUACCUUAUAUCGGACGGAAAGGUGAACCAACUCAAAAUAUUAUGGCAGCUUGUGACUUCAACAUGUGCUUUAUUUUUGCAUUUCCUGGUUGGGAAGGAACAGCACAUGAUAGUAGAAUUUUUUUGCAAGCACUUAGAAAGCAAGAGUUGAAGUUUCCACACCCUCCACCAGGUCGAACUUUAAUUUUUUAAUUACUUUUUAUAUAAAAAAUAUUUUUAAUUUAUUUUUAAACUUGAUAUUAUGUUUUACUUUUUUUGCAGGAAAAUAUUAUCUUGUGGAUUCCGGAUAUCCACAAAUGGCAGGUUUUCUAGGUCCAUAUAGGGGGGAACGAUAUCAUUUACCUGAUUUUCGUCGAGGUAAUCAUCAAGUAUCUGGAAAAAAAGAAAUCUUUAAUCAUGCCCAUUCUUCGUUACGCUCUGUGAUUGAACGAACAUUUGGAGUGUGGAAAAAAAAUGGCCAAUAUUAAGAGAUAUUCCAAGUUAUUCAUUCGACAAGCAAGUUUUAAUAGUUAUUGCAACAAUGGUUUUGCAUAAUUACAUUCGAAGACAUGCUUGGUCAAAUGAUGAGGAUUUUCGAGAAUUUGAGAAUAUACCGGACAUGCCAGUCUCUUCAAGCCAAUUUGACAGAGGUGAAUCGAGUUCUUCUAACAGAGAAAGUGACCUUGAAAUCACAAUGUUAAGGGAAACCAUUGCAACUAGUUUAAUGAAUCAAUAUUUGUAAACACAUUUUGUAUCAUAACCUAAUUUCUAGUAAUAAUGAAACUUGUUAUGUCUUAUGUUACUAUAUUUUUUUAUUAAAAAUCAUCCGUUUAGAUACUUCAAAAUUAGAUCCAAGUAUAAUGUUAUUAUUUAUGAAAAUAAUAUUUAUCAUUGUUAUAAAAAAAUAUUUAAUUAUAACUAUAAAAAAAUUAAAAAUAAUUAUCAUUUUAUCUAAUAAAUAAUUUAAAUUAUUUAUAUAAUUCCUUAAAAUAUUGAAAGAUACAUUUUAAUAUUUUAUUAAAUGAAUUUGCAUAUUUUAAUAAUUUUAAAAAAAUAAAAUAAUUUAAAUAACUUCUAUUAUAUAUCAAUUCUAAUCUGAUGUCCUUAAUAGUUAUUUUUCAUUCUCACCUCACCGCUACAGCUGCGUUUGAAUCCAAACACACACUCCACCAUUGUUUCUAAUCUCACCGCUACAGUACCCAAUCUCACCGCUACAGUAACUAAUCUCACCGCCACCGCUGUUUUUAACCUCACCGAAAAUAAACACACCGCCUAUCCAAACUAGCCCUAAGUAACUAUGCUUACAUGUUUAACAAGCCGCCGCUGUCCUGACAAUUGCUGCCGCACUUUUUGCCCAUCUCUACCGGAUGAAGUACAACAACUUGAAUAGCAACAGCAAUAGCAUGGUGCCAUGUCAUCUACCAAUAGUAAAUCUGCAACCUAACCUAACCUAACCUGGAUCUUUUUCUUUUUCCUUUAUGUCAGUUAGGACUCUCUAAUCUCAACUGUCUAUCAACUACCUCUCCUACCUAUGAGGUUGUUUAAUCAUUUCUUGUCCUUUCCCAAUUCUACCCUUUUCAAUUUCCCGACACUGGAAAUUUCAAUUUUUGUCAUUAUAAGUAAAUUAUAAAUUUAAUCCAAUUAAUUUUUGAAUUAAUCAAUUUUAAUUUUUUUUAUUUUAAAUACUAUUAAUUUUAUUCAAUUUAAUUAUUUAACUUUUUAUUUUUCAAAUUUUAACUUGAACGACAACUAUUAAAUAUAUUAAUUAAAAUAAAAUAAUUUUUUUAUGAAUAUUAUGUGAAAAUUACAGACUAACAUUAUACAUAACAAACAAAAUGUUUGCCACAUAAAAAUUUAAAAAUAACAGAAUUUAACGUAACAAAUUUGAUAACUAGUUUUUAACUGGAUUGAAAUUUCAUAUUUUAAAAAAUAUAAAAAUUAAAAUUGACCUAGUACACAAACUAGUGACAUCAGUUGUCAUUCCAUUUACUUGAGCAUUAAUUAUAAGAAAAUCAUUCUUCUUUAAAGCUGUAAAUAGAAUGAAGGAAAUCCUGCUUUUAAAACAGGUGAACUAAAGAGGAUGAGCCUUGCAACAUGAAAGCUCUUUUAAUUAUAUACAAUCAAGCAUAAGACAUACAGCUUUUACAAUUUUCAGCCAUUUUGGACUAACAUUUACAUGGAUUUCUUACUACCCUUUGGUUGAAAAUAAAAUGGUACGAUCAUCCCCCCGGACAUCACACAAUAACAGUUUUUUUACUGGCUCUACAUAAAAAGAUUACAUCAACAAAGCAUCAUCUCAGACAUUUUGUCGGUGCUUCGAAGAGGCAUAUGGGUGCAGAAACUAACUUCUGAUAGGGAUGGAUGGCCCAACAGAAGACAUACUGAAACAUGACAUUAGGACGAAAAUAAAAUGGAAAUCUUAGGUUUCUCGGGAAAAAAAGUGUCCACACACCUCCAUAUAAUCCAUUUGGGAGUUCACAAUUCACAUGAUACCCAAUUUUUAAAUCCAAGGCAAAUGAGCAUCGCCAGUGCUGCUCCUCUUGAUCUGUUGAAGGAAGACCAAACACAGUUCGACAUCGAUAAAACAUGUUGGGCAAAAGUUCUUAUCUUAGCCAUUUAAGGAGAGAUGGUAGACAAAAUAUGUCUUCAUAACGUACAACAAAGUUAAACAGACUGGCCAAUCCGGUCCACCACUAAAUGUCAUCCUUUCACAAUUAGACCAAGUUCUAGCCAAGUAAAUAUUAAUAGGGGCAUUUCAUUCCAUUGCUUUUUAUGUCUCUCAACCUAAGAACAAAUUACCUCAACCAAACCCCAACAAACAAGCACAGAUGCUAACUGUAAGCUAGCUUACGCGUUAGCUUAAGGGUGAGGUUCAGCACCAAGUCUCAUAAAAAAGCACAAGCCUUCUGAUGCUUUCAGCAGGAUAUAGUAAAAUAUUCAUGCUUUAUCAUUUACAUAUACUUUUUAUCUUAUUGGAAUUGAAAACAUGCCCAAUGCUCAACAAGCUAUCAAGACUUUUGCAAAUACCUUUAUAAGUAAAUACUUAGAACUAUUACCCUAACCUUCAUAAGCAACUCUUUUGUAUGUGCCCGGUUAAUUGACCGCUCAUGGGCUUAGCAUGACUAUGAAAUCACAGAGAAUAAGCAAUGUCCAGCAUAAAAGCUUCCAACCACCAGAUCGUAAUAGUUAAUAUCAUGACACACAUGAUGGUACAUGCAAAAUGUCAGAUUUUACAAGACCAACAAAGGGCCAUUACAGCAGUCACUAUAAUUUCUUGCAGUGACUUAUGAUUAUAGAUGAUUUCAUAUUUACAAUAGCUUAAAGUUCAGAUUUCAUAAAAUAAUAAUAACAAAAAAAAUAGCAUAUAAUGAAAAUAUAGGCAUGAGUGUUGAUGUCCAUGUAACUGUACAAUGUGAAAAUUCAAUGAGCAGAAUUAUAGCAGCAUCGCUAAACAGGAACAUGCAACGAAGGCCUUUGCUCACUAACCUCAGAAUACGCGGUUUUGGUUAUCAUAUCAUGUUUGCAUACAGGGCAGAAUGUCCCCCACUUUGUCAGCCAAGACUCCACACAGCUUGAAUGAAAAUCUGCACGCAGCUUUCAUGUUGAUUAACUAAUAUCUAGAAACAAGAUUUGAAUGUGAUAUUCAUCUGUUUACAAAAAGCAAUUUAUCUAUUUUUUUCCCCACGGCCACUAAUAGAAGUAACAGAUUCGUUAAAGCAUGGAGUCAAAGAACUAAGUAGGAUGGUUGAAUAUGUGCAUUAGUGCAGAAACUGCCCUGAUACAACCAAAGGUCUAUGGCUCUAUGGAUUUAAAACUUUCCUCUAUAUCAUUCUUUCUCAUAUUUUAGAUUUGUGUAAAUUGGUAAAUAUCAUGUCUUUUCACUAUUUACACAUUAUAGAGUUGAACCUAACCCGUAAAAGGAAAAACAGAUCCUUGCAUGGAGGAAGGUAAAACAAUGAUAUACACAAGAAAAGAAGCACAGCAAAGGCUACCAAUAAGCUGCAGGAGCAAACCCUACCAUGUUGACAGGGGAGAAUUUUAAGAAUCUCUCCAUCCUUAUAAUCCUCAAGGCAAAUAGCACAAGUUUCGCCGGCAUGGCACUGACUCAAGCGAGCAGAACCAAACGCAACACAAGGAAGAGCUUCAACUGUCUUACUAUCCACACUUUUUACUAAAUUUCUUCUUCGCCAAUUCAACAAAAUUCUGGGAGGCAUCAAGGCUAUCACCAGGAAAGCUGCUAUAACGAGAAGUGAUAGGAAACAUAUAACAAAAAUUGUCAAGGCCUUGCUAUUUGGCCGCAGAUAAAUGCAGCAUUCCCCUUUCUCCCCUUUAGCAUGAUCUUUCAAAAAUUCACCAGCAGAUUUAGAAACAAAAACCGCAAGAAUUUUGAUUCCUGUAGGGUUUGCCAUCACUUCAAACAAAAAAAUACCUCAAUUAAUCAACUAUCGAAUCAUUCUCCAAAUUUUACUAAUAAUAAUGAACUCAAUUCAGUUAAAUUAAUUUUGAAUGAAAAAAUGUAGAGCAAAUUAACUUACUGGAAACUAAACUGCCUCUAUCUUGAUCAUCGUAAACAAUUGCAGCAGAAAAACCCCCGCUUUGAGCUUUUCGAAUUUUUUCCUCGAAAGAACAAUUGCCUCUGAUUGUCAAAGCAAACCUUGUCGGGCCCGUUUUGUUGGAUCCAAAUUCAUUUCGGAGCGGUGUACAGGCAUCCGAGGGAUCCGCCACUUGAAGAGCACCGCAGACGGCAGUGUUAUUCCCACGAGCUAAACAACACAAAAAUUAAAAACAAAUAAGGAAUUUAACUUUUUCUUUUUCUGUUUUAGAAUUUUAUAUGGAAGUAGAGCGUAAAAACAAAUUAAGCUUGAAAGAGUUAGUUUUGUAAGCUUUCCUUCAUUUUCCCAGUAAACAAACAAUGAAAAAGAAGAAGAAAAGUUACCGAAUUUGGCGGGAAGGUCGGGGAAGGAAAUGGAGAAGGGCUCAAAUACAACGAUAGCAGACGAAAAUUCGAUGAAAUAAGCAAUAAAUAUUAACAAAAUAGAAAAUCCAAGCAGAGCUUCUCUCAUUGUCAUUUUUCUUCAACCUUUUCAGCUUAGGUCUGGAGGUAUGUGAUGAACAGUAGGUAAAAUAAGAGACUUGGAGAAGAACGCUAGGUCUGCAUAGAAACGCCGUCGUUUUAUAUUGGUAACAAAUUAGCGUGCCUUGUUGUUAGUGGGAGGGUUUAUGACUUUGAUGAAGCAAAUGGAAUGGGUCAUUAGCUAAGGUUGUAUUAAGUAAUAACAAUUUUUGUAGAAAGCUGCUGAAGAAGAGUCCAGAUGGGAGGCAUAAAUAUGCUGCAAAGAUCUGAUUGGACUGUAUUGCUACUAAUGUUACUAAACCAACCUCUGCUCUCUUACUUAUCCAUUCCCACUGCGACUCAUUUUGAUAUCCCCCAAUUCUUUAUUCUGCUUUCUCACCUACAUUUAAACUCCUUCGAGCUAAGCAUUGUGAAUGUAAUUAUGGAAUUUUUGAAUUUUUUUUUUUUAUUCCUUAUCUUUGCCAAUUAUGCAUUGCACUCAGCUGCAAUUUAAGUUGUUAUGGAUUUAGGUUUCUGAGUUCCAAUCAUUUCAAACUUUAAAUUUGUAUCAAAUCAUUUUAACCUCAAACCUGUUUUUGAGUUUAAAUUAUUUUACAAUCAAAUUUUUAAUUGAAUUAACAAAAAUUGAAGUUAUAAAAUCAAUACAAAGAAUUGAAUUUUUAUCCCAUUUGAAUCAUUAUUUGAAGCUAUUGGUGAAUGUAUUUGGGAUGUCCUAUUAUAGGGAUAUGAUUAAAUUAGUCCCACUACAACUAAAUAUGCUUAAAGUCUCUCUACUUUUUAAAAAUUAGAAAUUUAGUCUAUAUACUUGUAUUUCUAAUAAUUUAGUACCUCUACUUUUUCAAAUUUUAAAAUUUAAGUUCAAUUGUUCAUACUAUUAUUUUCUUUUUUGUUAAAAUUAGGUUAAUUACAACAUCUUUUUUAAUUAUAUGGCUACCAAAUGAGUAGUUUUUUUUUAUUUCAAAAUGUCACAUCAAUAAAAUUAACAGUACUAACAAUUGACCUAAAUUUUGAAAUCUAAAAAUAGAGGAUCUAAAUUUCUAGAAAUUCAAGUAUAAAGACUAUAUUCCUAAUGUUCGAAAAGUAUAGGAACUAUAGACACAUUUUAACUUAAAAUGAAUCAAAUAAUGGCAAAUUGAAAUAGAAUUAACAUUUACAAUUUAACAAAGUUAAUAUUUUUAAAGUUUUUAUAGUUAUAUAAAUAAAAUCUUUUGUUUGAAACUUAAUUCUAAUUGAAAAAUUUUAAGACAUUUUUAUAUAAUUAAAGUUAAAUUUAUUAAUAAGUUCAAUUGAAUUUUUUUUAAUAGCAUAAACAUUAAAUUGAUUCAGUAGAUAAAAUAAUUUGAGUUACCUGAUUUACACGUGUAAGACGUUGCACAAUAUUUAUCGGCUAAGCUGACGGCUCAUUGGCUCCAAACUCUUGAUUCCAUCUGUAGAAUUGUAAAACCGUGGUCUAUAACCAUAUCCAGUUUCUUUAAUUUGCAAGCCAUAAUGAAGAUAUAAUAAAAAAGUCAAACUACAAGUAGCAAUGGCCAAUGUCUGUUUCAAUUGAACUCCUCAUCCGUCUUUUUCUACAUAAUUAUGGGCAAGCCGGAUAAGGGGCCUUGCAAAAUACAUUCACCAUGUAUUUCUAUCUUAAAUAAAAGGGUAAAGUAUAUAAAUGUCACUACACUAUUGAGUUUAUUUUAGUGAUUUAACUAUUAAUUUCUUAAUUUAAUCAUCAAAUUUCUUGAAAUUAAAGUUGUUGUUAGAUUUUUUACAGAAAGUUGACAUGAAAUUUCGAAAUCUUUCACAUAAUUUUCUUAAUUUUCCAUGUGUGAAAAAUAAAAUAAAAUAAAAAAAUAAAGAACACACAGAUUUUAUGUAGAAAUCCUUUCGGGAAAAAAUCACGGGCAAAGAAAAAUAAAAUUCACUAUGUCGAAUUCGAAUUAUUACAAGAGGAAUAGACUAUGUCUAUUUAUAGACUUGUAAAGCCAUAUUCUAGUAAGACUAAAACACCUUAUUCUAAUCAAUAUAAAAUAGAUAGAGUUUAAUAAGGUUUAAAAAAUCUUAUUCUAAAAUAAAAUAAAAGAAGUGUAAUUCUAUAUGGAUUCUUCUUUUUAUUUUAUUUUACCACUGUAUUUUAUUUAAAUAAGGAUUCGGGUUACUUAAUUCUAACAAUCUCCACCUUGACACGAAUUCUCAAUAAACAAGUUCUUCAUCGUGAACUCUCAACGAACAAGUUCUCCACCUCUUCCAUAAAACCCCUUAAGGGUUUAACUUCAACAAUAAACACCAACCAAGUCUAAGCAAUGCUCAAACUUGGUUAUAGGAAAUGACUUAGUGACUGUUUCAAACAGUAAAGGGACUUUUUCAGCAAGCAAACAUAGUCCUCUUUUUCCGAGACUAUAAAACCCUCUGGUUGUUGCAUGUAAAUUAUCCUCCUCAAGUUCUCCAUGCAAAAAUGCAGUUUUUACAUCUAAUUGCUCAAGCUCCAAAUCAUGCAUGGCCACAAUACCAAGCAAAGCUCAAAUCGACCUAUGCUUAACAACUGGGGAGAACACAUCUGUGAAGUCCACUCCUAGAAUUUGACUGUAACUCUUUGCAACAAGCCUUGUUUUAUAUCUGGGUUCUUCAACUCCUGGAGUCCCUUCUUUCUUUUUAAACACCCAUUUACAACAAAUAGCCUUUUUACCUUUAGGAAGUUUCACAAGAUCCCAUAUUCUGUUUUUGUGGAGUGAUUCCAUCUCCUCUUGCAUAGCAAACAUCCACUUUUCUGAGUCUUCACAAGUAACCGCCUCGGAAUAAUUAGAUGGCUCUUGAUUCUCAUCUAUAUCUUCAGCCACAUUUAAAGCAUAAGCAACUAGAUCAGCCUCAGCAUACUUCUUUGGAGGUUUAAUUUCUCUUCUAGUUCUGUUUUUGGCGAUAGAGUAUUGCGGUGAAGAAAUAACUCUAUUCUCAAUUUUUGUACUGGCUUGAGGAGUUGACUUUGUAUUAAUCUGAUGCUCCACUUACUUUUGAUUUUCUUUAUUGGAAGAGUCUUUAAGAGGUAAGUUAGGUAGCAUAGCAGUUUCAUCAGAAACAACAUCUCUACUAAUCACAACUUUUCUAUUUUCAGGGUACCAUAACUUAUACCCUUUUACACCAGCUUUAUAACCAAGAAAAAUAUAUUUAAUGGAUCUCGGUUCUAAUUUUCCAUUAUCAACAUAAGCAUACACAGGACACCCAAAAAUCUUUAAAUCAGAAUAAUUAGCAGGAUUACCAGACCAUACCUCUUUUGGAGUCUUUUUCUCAAUGGCAACGGAUAGGGAUCGGUUGAUCAAAAAACAUGCAGUAGAGGCUGCUUUGGCCCAAAAAAAUUUUGGUAAGUUGGCAUUUGACAAUAUACAUCGAACCUUCUCUAUGAUCGUUCUAUUCAUUCGUUCUGCAACGCCAUUCUGCUAUGGAGCACGGCGAACUGUCAAGUAUGUCACGAUCCCUUCUAACUUGCACAAUCUAUUAAACUCAUCAAAGCAAAACUCUAAGCCAUUGUCUGUGAGGAGGUAUUUUAUUUGUUUUCCCGUCUGUUUUUCAAUCAUAAUUUUCUAAGACUUAAAUGCAGAAAACACAUCGCUUUUCUGCUUCAAGAAGAAAGCCCAAACUUUUCUGGAAAAAUCAUCAAUAAAUGUUAGCAUAUAAUUAACUCCACCUCUCGAAGGCACUCUAGAUGGCCCCCACAGAUCAGAAUGAAUAUACUCCAACGUUCCUUUUGUGUUAUGGAUUCCUCUGGUGAAUCGAACUCUCUUUUGCUUCCCAAAAACACAGUGUUCACAAAAAUUCAUUUUGCAAAUUCCUUGCCCAUCAAGAAGUCCUCUUUUUCUCAAUUCUGCCAUGCCAUUCUCACUCAUGUGCCCUAGGCGCAUAUGCCAAAGUUUAGUAAUACCAUCAUCUGAUAAGGAAGAGGAAGCGACAACUGCAUCACUAGUAACAGUAAAACCCUGCAAAACAUAUAACUUGGCAAUAUUUCUCUGCCCUUUCAUCACAACAAGGGAACCUUUGAAAAUCUUUAAAAUCCCACUUUCAGCUGUGUAUCUGUACCCUUUUGAAUCAAGAGUACUCAACGAAAUUAAAUUUAUUUUCAAUUUUGGAACAUGUCGUACGUAACUAAGUGUUCUGACUAUUCCAUCAAACAUCUUAACUUUAAUUGUUCCAACACCUGCGAUUUUACACGAAACAUUAUUUCCCAUCAAAACAACACAUUCUGAUACUGUUUCGUAAGUUGUAAACCAAUCCCGAUUGGGACUCAUGUGGAAGGUGCAUCUUGAAUCAAGUAUCCACUCCUCGCUUACUUUAGAAUCAUUGACAGAAGCGACUAGAAGUUCACCAUCACUGUAGUCUUCUACAACAUCAGCUUCACUAAAAUUUUCUGGUUGUUUUCCAUUUUGAUUCGCAGCCUCCAUUUUAAUUUUAUUCUGUAGCUUAUAGCACUCAGAUUUAAUGUGACCUUUCUUCUUGCAAAAGUUGCAAGUUUUACCUCUGUUUGAAGACUUUGAUCUACCCUUAGAUUUACCGCAAGGAUUCUAUUCCUGUGUCCUUCCACGAUCAUCAUCAGCAUUCCGAUCUUAUCUCUCACGAACAAUGAAACCCUCUCCCUGAGAAUCGAGUUUAAUCACAAGAUGCUUCAUCUUAUCAUAUGAGGUCAAAGAAUCAUAAACCUCAUCAACUGUGAGAGACUCACAGUUAUAUAAAAUCGUGUCUCUAAAGGUUGAAUAAGACGGGGGCAACGAUCAAAGUAGAAUCAACCCUAGAUCUUCCUUAUCAUACUGAACCUCAAUGGCCUCCAAGUUUGAGAGAAUUUCUUUAAACACUGUUAAGUGUUUGUGUAUAGAUGCACCUUCCUCCAAACGAUGAGCAUAAAGACGCUGCUUCAUAUGCAACUUUCUUGUUAAAUUUUUCGACAUACAUAUUUGUUCUAGCCUCUUCCAUAAUGCAGCGGUGGUCUUCUCUUGUUAGGAUUUCAACCCGAUUAAGCAACAAACAAGAAAAUAGCAGAAUAAAUUGAAAAAUUAAACACACAAAUUUAACGUGGAAAAACCCCUCCAAAGAGGAUAAAAACCACGGGCAAAGAUAAUUUUACUAUAAUGGCAAAAGAACGAAGAGUACAAAAGAUGGAGAUAAAAACUAAAUCUCGAAAACCCGAAAAUAAAGAACCCACAAAAUUCUCUAAAUGUGUUAUGAGUUCUAAUCUUUAAUGGGUAUUUUUCUAAAGUUGUAAAAGAGCCUAUUUAUAGGCUAAAUUCAUAAGUCAAAUAAUAGUAAAAUAAUCUAAACUAAUCAGUAUUUGAUUGAAACAAGUAAAUAGAGUUUAACUGAAAUAUUAUUUCUCAAAUUUGACUAAAAAUAGAAUUCAUAUUUAACAAAUCUCCACCUUGACUCAUAUUUCCACAACACCAUCUUUGCCAAAGCCUGCCACGAGCCUAUAUUAAACUAUACAGGGAAUUAACUGAGUCGAAUUUGUGCUUAGAAAUUGGAAGACUUCUAGCCUUCGACUUGUACACUGCCAAAUCAAAACUAACUCGGGUCUGAUUUUCACGAACACAAUGCCCUAACUUUUCAAAACCUACAUCCAAAAGAGAACCUCUCUUCAACGAAACAGUCAUACAUUUUUCCCUCCUAUGACCAAGUUGCCUCCGCUCCAAACAAGUUGACUUCAACUCCAUAACGGACGAGGGACGUCCGAUUUCACCGGCCGCUGUAUAACCUUCCAGAAUAUAAAGACUACCGGUUCUUUUACCUUUUAACAAAAUGAGAGCUCCACGAUAUACUUUAAUGCGCUCGAAUUGAUGUUGAUUUCGCAUCCUUUCAAGUCUAAAAUACUUAAGGAGAUGAGAUUCUUUUGUAAAUCAAGUACAUACCUGACAUCUGAUAGUGUCUUAAUCGUCCCAUCGUGCAUCUUAAUUUUAAAAGUACCAAUACCAAUUACCUUACUAGAUGAAUCGUUUUCCAUGCGCACAACUUUACCUUCAAUCGAACUAUAUGUGGAGAACCAUUCUCUAUUGGGACACAUGUGGAAAGAACAUCCCGAAUCUAGGAUCCACUCGGACGUGAGCUUGGUGUUGUCGCUUGUUGACACUAACAAGAAAUCAUCACCAUUUUCAUCGGCCAAAUUAGCACCAGCUACAUCUUCCUCGUUACUCUCAGCAACUUUUUUUUUUGCAGUUUAUAACAAUCUGCUUUGACGUGACCUAACUUUUUACAAUAGCGACACCUUUUAUCACUUUUCUUUGAUGCUACCAAAAUGGAAGCUUGCCUAUCUGUCUUGCUAUUCAAAUGAAGCUCAUUGUUGAGUUUGUCUCUACUCAACAAAUGACCCUCCACAUCUUCGAACGAGAGUUUGUCUCUGCCAUAAAUCAGGGUCUCCCUGAAAGACUUGUAUGAAGGGGGUAAAUAGCACAAUAAUAGCAUGGACUGAUCUUCAUCGUUAAUAUGAACCUCAACAUUCUUUAAAUCAUUCAAAAGAGUAAUAAAUUAACUGAUGGGAUCUCUAAGAAGCUCACCUUCGUUCAUGCGAAACGUAAAUAGACGUUGUUUCAACACUAAACAAUUAGCCAGAGACUUAGUCGCAUAAAGAGUUUCUAACCUUUUCCACAAGGCGGAUGAGGUAUUCUCAAUCAAUACCUCCUGCAAUACCGUAUUCGCGAGGCACAACUGGAUUGCAGACAAAGCCUUUUCAUCAAGCUCUUCCCAUUCUGUUUUAUUUAGAUUCUCAGGCUUUUUCCCAGUAACAACCUUUUUCAAAUCGGAUUGAACUAGAAUUGCCAUCAUCCGAACUUGCCAUAGAUUGAAAUUUGUCUCACCAUCGAACUUCCCAAUUUCAAAUCGUGUUACUACCAUCUCUGAAAGGGCUGAUCUAUGAAAAUUGAACUAGCUCUGAUACUAAUUUAUGAAAAAUAAAAUAAAAUAAAAUAAAAUAAAAAAAUAAAGAACACACAGAUUUUACGUGGAAAUCCUUUCGGGGAAAAACCACGGGCAGAGGAGAAGAAAAUUCACUAUGUCGAAUUCGAAUUACUACAAGAGGAAUAGACUAUGUCUAUUUAUAGGCUUGUAAAGCCAUAUUCUAGUAAGACUGAAACACCUUAUUCUAAUCAAUAUAAAAUAGAUAGAGUUUAAUAAGGUUUAAAAAACCUUAUUUUAAAAUAAAAUAAAAGAAGUGUAAUUCUAUAUGGAUUCUUCUUUUUAUUUUAUUUUACCACUAUAUUUUAUUUAAAUAAAGAUUUGGGUCACUUAAUUCUAACACCAUGGGUAAGUCAAUUUUUGAGGUUUUUAUAAAAAUAAUUAAAUACAAAAAUGGUAUUAGAAACAAAUUAAUUCUGAGAAUGGAUGUUUUCUACCAUGAAUAUCGAUGUUGUCUGACUGGUUGGCAGCACCACCUUAUCUUUUCCUCAAUCAUCAUGCAAUCAUAUGGUUUUUUUAUUAAAUAUUUUUUAAUGGUGUCGCCUGAUACAAUGGUAGCAUCAGUAUGUAUUCUUUAAAAAUACUUGUAUUUUUAGCUGUAUACAUAGUGGUUUAAAAUAUAGAAAAAAUAUUUCUUUUUAUCGGUGUCGCUUGACAUAUUAGUAACACUGGUUUAAUUUUUUUUUAAAAAAUAGCUAAUUAAAAAAAUUGUUUUGGGUUGUAUCGAGGCAUGACCGAUUGGUCAUGGUGGCAGCAGGCGUCAGAUCGAUGAUCAAAACCACCAUUAUUAUCGAGUCUUUCUUUACCAUCUGCAUUAAUACCAGUUAUCAAUGAAUGUAUCUGUAAACGAAAACCCAGAUUAGGAUUGUUAUACACAAACGGAGCAUUGUGUAGAUUUUCGUUCCAUGUCAAUAUCGCUCCAUAAUCGCACAGUUCUAUCCAUCCAACAUUCAGAUCAAAGUCAAACUCAUCUACAGAAGGUCACCUAUCAACAGACGCUCUCGAAACUUUAUAUACGGGUCUUAAACUCUGUAUUGUUGAUUUGAUGGAAUGACAUUUUGAUCGGGCUCAACAUUCGCUAACUCAACAAACAAAUCAACUAAUUCAAUGUUCCCAAGUGAGCAAUACAAUACGAUCGUAACACCCUUUACCUGAUUCGGUUGCCAAACCCGAGUUACAAGAUGUUACUGCAAUCAAUGGAAUAGUUACAUACAAAACUAAAUUCUUAAAUCUCAAAUACACAUGCUAUUAUAUAUAUAUCAUUUUGGUUAAGGUUAUAAUGGCAUGUAUAGGUGAACUUGUGGUUGAUGAUUAGUUGAAUGUUAGUUAAUGUGUUUGGCAUGUAUAUGCCAUUUUGGGUGAUGUAGCCUUGGUAUAUUUGGUGCCUUGUUGAUAUCUGUUAAAUUGAUAAUAUGUCAGAGCAUGUUUGAAUCACCAAAGUGAUAUAUGAUGAAUUGACCUCAACAUGGUCAAGAUAUGGUAUGUUUUGGAAAGAUUUUGAACUAGAUAUGGCAUGAAUCUAAUAUGGUAUGUUGGUUAUAUAUAAAUUAUUUUAUAUUUUGGCAUGGAAACAAGUUAAGUGAUAAUUGGUCAAAUAUGCACAUGUAUAGGUAUUUUUGGUUGAUGAUGUAGCCAUUGUUUUGGCUUGUGUUUAUGGCACUUUCUUAUGGAGGAGUUGUUAUUAAAUUGGCAUGUAUGUAUAUGGGCUUUGUAAUGGUUGUUAUGUUGAUAUAUAUGUGACCUUAUGAUGGUUGAUUUUAUAGUUCUUAUGAUGCUUAGGUGAUGGAAAUUGAACAUAGUCAUUUUGGUAUGAAACAUGUGGUUAGCAUAUAUGGUUUAUGAUGCUAAUGUUAAUUGGUAUAUUUGGUACUUUUUGGUAUGAAUUUGAUAGGUAAACAAAAUGGUAUGUUUUCACAAUAACUUAGCUAAAGGUUAGUUGAACAUUUGGCCAAAUUGUGCAUAUAACUGUACAUGUUUAAUUGUUGCGAUUGAAGUGUCUUUUAGGCGUAUUGGUCGUAUGAUUAUAUGCCUUAAUUGGGUAGCUUGAUGAUGCAUGGUAUUAGUGCAAUUUGAAGGCUUGUUAUAUGUGGAAAUUUGGUUGUAGGUAUGUGCUUGAAUGGGUGAGAAAAUUGGCUUGGAAAUGGCCUUUUUUUUUCCACACAGGCAUGUGUUUCAGCCGUGUGAUCUAAGUCAGUCAGUUACACGAGCACAGACAAGGGCUGGGACAUGGCCGUGUGUCCCUACUUCGAAUGUCCACACGGCCGUGUGACCCUUGCAGUUUGAAAAUUUUCAUCUUUUUCCUAAAAAUUUUAUAUGUUCCUGAUUUAGUCUCGAUUCGUUCCUAAUCUAUUUUUAGGGCCUCGACGACUCUUAUAAAGGACAAUUUGUAUGUUAUUGAUUGAUUUUGCUAUGAUUGAUGUUGUGAAUUAUAUGGUUUAAAUUUUGGUAGUUUUAAAUGUAAACUCUGGUAGUGCUCUGUAACUCUAUUCCAACAACGGAUACGGGUUAGGGGUGUUACACUUUGUACAACCAACUCAAUUUGGAUAGUUCGUACACAGACCUAUAAAAACCAAUAUUCAUGAUUAAAUUUGAUAAUCAACAAGGUAAAUAAAAAAGUUCAAAAAUAUUUAAUUAACUAAAAAAAUUCAAAAUAAAAAUAUUUAAUUAUGUACAAAAAAAUUAGAACACUAUCUAGCUCGUUUGUCUUUCGAUUAAUAUUAUUUUACAGUAAUCAAUCUAAUAAAAAUUUCACUGUCAUAAUCUUCGGCAAUGACGCCAACAACUUAACCGUCUAUAAACAUGUUAUUGUUUAUAGUUAAAAUCAUGCAAAUAAAUAAAUAAAAAUUAAAGUGUUGUAUCUGCAAGAGUACAAGCCAAAUUGUAAUAUAGUAAAGUUUACAAUGAAACACUGGUAAAUAUUUUGAGGAUCGUACCCAAGGAAUUGCGGAUUGAAUAAAUUAUUGUUAAAUUAAUUAUAAAAAAUAAUUUCUAAUUUAAUUAAGCCACGAAUUAGUAGUGUGAAUCCAAAUUAAAAGAGUAAUUAAACUAAUUAAAUUAAAUAAACCUAAAUUAACCUAAUGGAAUUUCCUAUUCCUAAUGUCAGCAAUGCAAGCCUCUAGCCUAUGAUCGAUUAAACAUGACCGCUAAUGUUAUCAUUGCUUGUGACCCAUAUUCAGGUAACACCCCUAUAGCUCAACAUAGGGGUCAUGUAACACCCCUAACCCGUAUCCAUCGCAGGAGUAGGGUUACGAGGUAUUACCGAUCAAUACACAUCAUUUAACCUACAUAACUUAUACAUUUAUGCAUUCAUAUUCAAAUACUAUUUAACUGAAUCAUCUUGUCCCUUUAUAAGGCCUACGAAGCCUUAAACAUUCUUUAGAAGUGGUUCGGGACUGAACUGAUAGCAUUUGAAAAUUUUGGAAACUUAGAAAAAUUUCAACACUUCAAGGGUUACACGUCCAUGACUUAGGCCGUGUGGAAACAUGGCAUACAUACUGACUUGCAUCACACGGCUGAAGACACGCCCAUGUGCCAAGCCGUGUGAAAACUGGAGGGUAUACUGACUUGGGUCACACGACCAACCACACGCCCGUGUGUCUAGCCCUUGUGCCCUUCAAAAUGGCCACACACGCCCGUAUGGCAGGUCGUGUACUAGGCCGUGCCAAUCCUAUAGGGUAUACUGACUUAUGCAACACGGCUAACUCACACACCCGUGUGUGAGACCGUGUGGAGUAUACUGACUUCAUUUUAAUAUCAACACUAGGGGACACACAGCCGUAUAACAUGACCGUGCGUCAUACACGGCUGAGACACAUGCUCGUGUCUCUACCCGUGUGGACAAAAAUAGGCUAUUCGCAAAGCCAUUAUGUGACCCUAUUUUCACAUGUAUACACAAGCAUAAAUGGUAACAUUUUAUAACCCAAUAGGCAACCAUUCCACAACAUUCCAUACACAAAUUAUACCAAUUCCACAUAGUAUUCAAAUACUUACCUAAUACCAUACAAUUUCCAUUCAUAAGCUUACCAAAUAAUAAGACACAUUUGCAAAAUUCCAUUUCAUAUAAUAUUUACCAAAACAUACCAAAACAUAAUAUCAAGUUUAGCCAAAUCACAUGGCUUAGACUUAUCACAACAUGAACCAAAAUCACCAUCUCAAGUGAACAUAACUAUCAUCUUUAUAACUAGCCUAUACAUGCCAUAUUUACUUAUAUCCAUAAGUUUAAAAGUACCAAUCGGCAAUUGGAUAGUGUGAUGCAUAACUCUGACUUCUCCGAAACGAGCGAGUUAACAAACCUGUAUAAAACAUGAAAAAAGAAAGAGAGUAAGCUUUAUAGCUUAGAAAGCCUGUAUAAUUCAAAGUUAAACUUACCAUUUAUACAAUUAAAGCAAUAAAUAAAGUAUACUCAACUCAAUUUCCAAAUGUCUAAACACAAACAUUCACCAACAAGUUAGCCAUAUAAGUACAUGUAACCAUCUAUUAUUUCAAUUCAAUACUCAAUACAUUGCAUUAUACCAAAUUCAUAUAUUAUGUACAACAUUAGUAACAUUUCAUUGUCAAUCAUUUAAACAAUAAUUCAUUUGCAAAUAGUAGCUCAUCCAUAUAAACAGUAUUUCAUCCAAAUAAACAGUAUUUAUGCUCGUUGAACCUAUUAGAAUAUCGAGGGAUACUCGGGUAAUAUACAUUACGUAUAAAUCAGUGAGCUGUCAAUUCAUUAUCAUUUUCCACUCUUUCGAGCUAUGAACAGUAAGCUCCCCCAGAGCUGAUGGACAGUAAACUCUAUUGAGCUGAAACAGUAAGCUCUAACGAGCUAAAAACAGUAAGCUUUUAUAAGCUGAAAUAGUAAGCUCCAACAAGUUGAAAACAGUAAGCUCUUACGAGCUGGUAUAUCGAUAAGCUCAUUCGAGCUACGGUGAGUCCGCAACACAUGCAGGAUCUCGACCAAAACGGUAACCCUAGUGACAUGUCACUCGUAUCUUACGAAUUCAUACGGUUCAAACGGGGCUCGGGAAUUAUCAGUCUAUAUCAAUAAGGCAUUCUUAUUCCAAGUAUAUCAAUUAAUCGAUUUUAUACAUACAUUUCAAAUAAUUACAAGUAUUUAAAAGUUCGAUUCUAAUUAUACGAACUUACCUCGUAUAGCUCAGAUAGCAAAUAUCGGCUAUUCUUCCACUUUUCUUUUUCCCCGAUCUAAUUCUGAUCUCAGCUUAUAUUGAUCUAUAUAUUAUCAAAUUCAGUACAUUCAGUAUUCAGUCUAUUCAAUUUAGCCCAUAAUUCAUAUUUUGGAAAAUUUACACAUUUGCCCCUAAACUUUUACCCUUUUUACAAUUUAGUCCUUAACACUUAAUAUUGCAAAUUCAUGCAAUUUAGUACCACCCAAGCUUUGCCGAACUUUAAUAGAGUCCCUGGAAGCCCAUAUAUUUUAUUUAUUCACACUUUUACCCACAUAAUUUUACAUUUUCACAAAUUAAUUCCUUUUUGACAUUUUUUGUCAAAAAUCACUUUAGAAAACUAGUUUAACUAUCAACAAUUAUUCAAAAUCCAUCAUCAACCAUCAAAUUACUCAAACAUUCAACAAUAGAAACAUGUUAAAUCUUUAACAAUUUCAAAAUCUAAGGUACGGGCUAGCUAGAAUACGAAGCAACGAUCUCAAAACGUAGAAAUCAUUAAAAACUGAACAAAAAUGGACUUACAUGCUUGUAAAUUAACUUGGCCGAAUGUCAAACUUCUCCCAUGGCUUUUGUUCAUUGAAAUUUCGGUGGAAAAGUUGAAGAAGAAAGAUGGCGGCUUUUGUUAUUUUAUUAUUAAUAUUAACAUUAUUUACUAAUUUACUAAAUUAACCUUUAAAAUUAUUAUAAAUUACACCAAUUGUCAUGCUAUCAUCAUCCACUAACCCAUAAAUGACCUAUUUCCACUUAAGGACCUUUAUUUUAAUGUUCUAUAGCUAUUUGACACUUUUAGCUAAUAGAACACAAGUUUUACGCUUUAUGCGAUUUAGUCUUUUUUACCGAAUUAACCAUUCAAACAAUAAAAUUUCUUUACGAAACUUUCAUUCAAUAAUUCUAUCAUGCUGUAAAAUUUAAUAAAAUAAUAAAAUAAAUAUUUUUACCUCGGAUUUGUGGUCUCAAAAUCACUGUUCUGAUUUGACUCAAAAACGGGCUGUUACAUAUCAUGUCGCGCUAUAGUAGUUAUUUUGUGGCUUUGGACGUUCCUGUCAUGCUUUCACGGCUUGGGAAGCUUGUGCAACACUCAUCCCAAGUUCUUACAUCAGUUGGGCCUAAAUAAGCAUCAUGCACACUUAAAUACAUAAAUUAAACCUACCUAAGGCCCGUGUCGACCUAAUAGGUCACUAACAUUAAAAAAUAUGUCAAAAAAACUUAUUUUAUUAACUUUUAUUACUUAGCUACUAACUACUAAAAAUGAAAUAAUUAAUAUUAAGAUGCCUCGAAAUUAAGCUUGUUAAGUGCCGAAAAGUACUUAAACUACCACUACAAUUGAUGGCAGGUCAUCUACCCUUAAACAAGUCUGUUGCCAAGUUCUAUUAUAGAGAUUAGAUCAAAUUAGUCCCUCUACUAUUAAAAAGAAUCAAGUAAACUAAAUUUUUUGCAGGUUUAAUUUUUUAAAAUUAAAAUUUCUUUAAAUUGGGUUAGAAUUUAAUUGUUUUCGAGUAUUGGGUUUAUUUUUUUUAUUUUAGAUUUGAGUUUUGGUUAUGUAUUUGGGUAUUAAGUUUAUUUUUUAUUUGGCUUUGAUUGGGUAAUAUAUUUUAGUAUUUUUUAUUUAAAUUAGGUAUUUAUAAAGUCAAAUAAUUAGGUUUGUUUAGUUCAAAAUCGAAAUUGAAUUGAAUUAACAUGUUUUGAUCGACUUCUCCAACCAAUACAAAAUCAAAGUCAACUUAAUCGAAUCAAUUUGACUGAAUUUGCUUGGCUCAAUUGGUCUAAUUAGAUUUAUUCGACUUUUGCUCAUUCUUACCCACUUUGUUUCGCCUAACUUCUAAAAUUGUUAUUUUACUUUUAUAAUAUUAUUUGUAUCAUUUCGUUUUUUAAAAGAUUUUGUUUAUAUGCUAAUAUUUUUAGAACCAGACUGAUGAUCAAACCGUUUAGACCGUCAAUUUUCAGUUUAAAUGGUUUAUAAUUGAAAGGCAUAAUGAUUUUUUUGACCCUCUAACUUUAUAAAAAAAUGUCAUUUAGCCAUCCAUUUAAUUUUCGCCUCUUUUAGUCUUUUAACUUGUGUUGUUUGUCAAAUCACAUCAAAAUGGAUGGAAAAAUUAAUAUUUGUUAACUUUGUUGACGUGAGAUACACAUGGGUUGCCACGUGAAUAUCACAUCAACAAAUAAUUAAUUUUUAAUUUAAAAUUUUAAUAAAAAUAUAAAAAUCAUUAAAAAAAUUAAAAAUUAAUUAAAAAAUUAAUUAAUAGAUGACGUAUAUACAUGCGAACUGCCACGUUAACAAAGUUAACACAUGUUAACUUUUAUUUGAUAAACAACGUAAAUUAAAAAAUUAAAAAAGAUAAAAGAAUAAUUAAAAUAAUUUUUUAAAAAAAUUGGAGGCCUAUUAUACCUUAUUAAAAUUCAAUUGUUUAUAAAAUCUGAAAGCCCAUUAUUGAAGUUUUGUAAAUCCAAUUUAAGGUUAUAUAUUGCACAUUGAUUAAAAAUUCGUAAACCCACCUUUAAACGUUAAAAUCAUAUAUAUAUUCCAAUUUCUUAAUAAUAAUAAAAAUCUUUUACCAAGUUACCAUCUUUCCAUAUUCUUUUUUAUGCAAUCUUCCCAUCUUUUUGACUAUUUGAUUCCUUAUUUUCCAUUAUAUAAUACAUAAAUCAAAUAUAGGUAUAAUUAGUUCUUUUUUAUCUGGCUUUUAACUCGCGUUAACUGAAUUUUAUCUGUUUCUUUAUUACUCGGUUUAACAGGGGUAGUUGAAUUGUCAGACCUACUGAUUCUUAGUUCAAUCAGUCAAUUUGGUUCGGUUCCAACAACAUUACUAUAUAUUAUAUGUUGAGGCAAUUAUGAUAGUAAUUACAACCAUACUUGAUGCUUCUCAAGUUUCAUUACUUGCAUUAUUUGGAAUUAUUAAUCUUUUAAAAAAAAAUUUGAGCAAUGACUUUAUUGAUUUUAUAGACUUAUGUUGAAUAUUUUUCAAGACUGAUAAUUUGAAACAACAAAUCGGAUCUCUCGAAUUAAAGAGAUUAGGUCAACUAAUUUGAAGACUUAUGUUGGACAUCUUCAUAUGGUCUUAAACUUUAUUAAUAUAUUCCAAAUGUUGAUUUAAUUGCUACUUUAGUGGGGAUUAUGAUUAUAUUUUGAUUUACAUGUUAACAAGUAAAAAAAUAUUCUUAUAUAUAUGUUCAUUAGAAAUUGUUAUUGAGAACGUAUUUUUAUAAGUAAAACGAUUGAAUAGUGAAGAAGAGAUCUAGAUUGUAAGAGUAAAGGUGAAGUUGUUACACUAAAGAGUGCUAGAACUUAAUUCAUUAUUUGGACAAGGUUAAAGAUAAGAAUUUGUGUCUUUAGAGUAAAUAUAGGUAAAAACCGAAAUAUGUAGCUUUUUUUUUUUUUUGUUCUUCACUACUGACGCCUAUUAGUUAUAAUUGCUCUUUAUAACUGCUCAUAUUGUUAUUGCUAAAACUCACUGCUUUCUACAAUAUAUAUGUGUAUUGUAUACUAAAAUUAUAUAUAAAUUACGUACAUAAAUAAAUCAUAAAUAUAUAUUUUAUCUAUCUAUAAUCUAUAUAAUAUAUAAAACACAAGUUUGAAAAUUGAUGAAAACAUCCUGUAUUUUUUAUCAUAAAUUAAAUUCAUAUUUAACAAUAAUUAUAAUAUAUAAUUUAGAAUUAUUAGAUAAAAAAGUUGAAAUAAAAUAGAAAUUUUGAUAAUUAUACAUUUAAAAAUAAUUAUUAUUUAAUAGAAGUUAUAAUAAUUACACAUUUAGAAUUUAAAUUAUAAUUAUUAACUAAUUUUAAAAUAUAGUUAUCAUUUAAAUACAACUCUAAACAUAAAAUAUAAGGAAAAUUGUUAAUUUUAUUGAUUUAAAUACAUUUAAAAAUCGUUCUUCCUGCAAACAAGUGACUGAGAAUCAUAGUUUUCGCGCUUUUGAGCCUUGUUGGUGAGUUGAUUAAGUGUGUUUCAUAUUUGUAACGAAUUUAAUAGGAGGCUGAUUUUGGUAUUUAGGUGGAAGAUAAGAGGCGAUGGACAGCCAGUCAGGGCUUGAGUGUUGCGAAAUUACCAUUACUUGCUCGAGGUAAGGACGUUGUUAGAUUAAGGGGAAUGUUCCUUUUGAUGGUGACUUUUAGAAUCGUGAAUUAGGAGAUUAAUUGGAUGAUACUUUGGUAGAAAUGGAGAGGGCAAGCUACCGGGAUUUCAAAAAUACAAAUAGCAUGAAAAACGGGGCUUGGGAGCACUUACUAUUGAGCUUGGAAAACUUGAAACCCUAGCUAUGGAGAACCCCAAAUUUUCGGCUGGAUGAAGGAGAAAAUGGCUGAUUUUGGCUUGAUUUUUCCCAUUUUAAUUCAUUAAAAUAACAAAUGACCAAAAUGCCCCCAUGCACUUUCUUUAAAAUUUCAUCCAUGCAAGCCUAUUUUUGUCCAAAAAAUUAGAAUUUGGGCAAAUUGCUCUCCAAAACCUUCUAAUUUAUAAUCUAAAGCAAUUUCAUACAAAUUGCUUCUAGAAAUCAAGUUUUGCAAUUUAUUCAAUUUAGUCCCUAAUUUUUAAUUGGACAUCUUAGAUUUAGAAUUUCUUCAUGAAACUUUAACACAUGCAUAUACUCAUAUUCUAGGCCUCAUAAUAGUCAUAAAAUAAUAUUUUGAUAUCGGAUUUGUGGUCCUGAAACCAUUAUUCUGACUAGGCCCUAUUUAGGGAUGUUACAAUAUAGAGACGUUCCGUUGGAGGUUCAAGGGAUAAUAUUUCUGGUUGAUUUGGUGAAGCUUCCGUUUGAGGAGUUUGACUUAAUUCUGGGGAUGGAUUGGUUAGUUAAGCACCAAGUGAGUCUGGACUGUGCGUCUAAGAAGGUUGUUUUGAGAACCGAGGGGGACGACAAAGUAGUCAUAAUUGGGGAGCGUCUAAACUACUUAUCGAAUGUGAUUUCUGCUUUGAGGGCGAAAAAAUUAGUGUAUAAGGGAUGUGAGGCGUAUCUGGCCUACAUCAAUGUUUUUGAUUCGGGGGAUUCUUCAGUGAAGGAUAACAGUACGGUAAGGACUUUUCAGACGUCUUUUCUGAUGAACUACUGGGUUUACUUCGGAAUCGAGAGGUGGAAUUUGGGAUUAAACUUAUUUCGGGUACAGCUUCGGUGUCUAUCGCUCCCUACCGAAUGGCACCAAAAGAGCUUACCGAGCUUAAAGCUCAGAUUAAGGAAUUAUUAGAUCGUGGGUUCAUUUGCCUGAGUGUGUCUCCGUAGGGAGCAUCAGUGCUGUUUGUGAAAAAGAAGGAUAGAUCCAUGCGUAUGUGUAUCAACGACCGGCAACUGAAUAAGCUGACCAGCAAGAAUAAGUACCUCCUACCGAAGAUAGAUGAUCUAUUCGACCAGUUUCGAGGAGCUUCAGUUUUCUCUAAGAUUGAUCUUUGAUCAAGGUAUCAUCAGUUGAGGGUUGAGGAGACUGAUGUGCAUAAGACGGCAUUUAAGACUCGUUAUGGACAUUACAAGUUCCUAGUUAUGCCCUUUGGAUUGCUUAUAGUUUUGAUAAACCGAGUGUUUCAGCCCUAUCUGGAUCGAUUCAUGGUGGUAUUUAUUGACGAUAUACUGGUGUAUUCGAAGACCGAGGAUGAGCACAAUAAACAUCUCAGGGUGGUUCUACAGAUUCUGUGAGAGAAACAAGUGUACGCUAAGUUCAGUAAAUGUGAGUUCUGGUUACGUGAAGUAACGUUUUUGGGCCAUGUUGUCUCUGUAAAGAGGAUUAGAGUCAAUCCUCGAAAGAUAGAUGUUGUCUUGAUUGGAAGCAACCUAAGACUGUAUCUGAGAUCCGCAGUUUUCUAGGAUUGGCAGGGUAUUAUCGACGGUUUGUAGAGGGGGUUUCACUGAUCGCCGCACCUUUGACUAAGCUGCUAUGUAAGGGUGUGCCAUUUAACUAGGCUGAUUCGUAGCAAGAGAGCUUUGAAAAUAUCAAGACUGGUUUGACUCAGACUCCCACUCCGAUAUAGCCUAAGCUUGGUAAGGACUUCGUGAUUUACAAUGAUGCUUCACUCGUAGGUUUAGGGUGUAUAUUGAUGCAGGAUGGUAAGGUGGUAGCGUAUGCAUCUCUUCAGCUCAAAAAUCACGAAACGAACUAUCCUACACAUGAUUUAGAAUUGGCUACGGUAGUCUUCGCUUUGAAAAUUUGGAGGCACUACUUGUACGGUGAGAAGUGUACUAUCUAUACUAAUUAAAAGAGCCUCAAGUAUCUUCUCACUCAGAAGGAGUUAAAUCUUAGGCAGCGUAGGUGGGUGGAGUUGCUUAAAGAUUAUGAUUGUACCAUUGAGUACCAUCCAGGCAAGGCCAAUGUAGUGGCCGACGCGUUGAGCCAUAGGGCUAUGACCGAUCUGAGAAUGAUGUUCGCUUGACUCAGCCUUUUCGACGAUGGGAGUCUGUUGGCAAAACUUUAGGUUAAACCAACCUGGAUUGAAUAGACACGAGGUAAACAGUUAGGGGAUAAGUAUCAUGGAUUUUGGUUUUGUCAAGUUGAGAAUGGUGGCACUACUGAUUUUGGGGUAAGCGGUGAUGGGGUACUUUAUUUCCGCGGUCUGAUUUGUGUACCGAAUGAUGAGCAUUUAAAAUAGUCGAUUUUGAGGGAGGCGCAUAAUAGUCUUUAUGCUAUGCAUCCCGGUGGGAACAAUAUGUACCGAGAUAUCCGUGAUUUGUACUGGUGGCCAGGGCUGAAACAGGAAGUUACUGAUUUUGUGACUAGAUGCUUAACAUGCCAGCAGGUUAAGGCUGAGCACCAGUCGCUUUCGGGUUUUCUUCAGCCGAUUAAGAUUCCCCUUUGGAAGUUGGAACGAGUGACUAUGGAUUUCAUUAGUGGGUUACUCCUCACACCCACUAAGAAAGAUUCAAUAUGGGUCAUUGUGGAUCGAUUGACUAAGUUCACUUAUUUCAUACCAGUUCGUACUGACUACUCACUGCAGAAGCUGAUUGAAUUGUAUGUGUCCGAGAUAGUGAGACUGCAUGAGGUGCUGGUUUCGAUCAUAUCUGAUAGGGAUCCUCGCUUCAUGUCUCGGUUCUAGAAAAAGCUACAUGAGGCUCUAGGUUUAAGGUUGGACUUCAGUACUGCUUUCCAUCCUCAGACAGAUGGUCAAUCUGAUAGGGUGAUUCAGAUAUUAGAGAAUAUGUUGAGAAGCUGUGUGAUUGACUUCUGAGGCAGUUGAGAGGAGUAUUUACCGUUGGCAGAGUUCACUUACAAUAAUAGUUAUCAGUCUAGAAUACAGAUGGCACCUUACGAGGCACUUUAUAGUCGUAAGUGUCGCACUCCUUUAUACUGGAUUGAGUUGGACGAACAACGUGUUCUAGGUCCUGAGUUGGUCUCUGAGACAGAGGAUAAGGUUAGGUUAAUUUGAGAUCGAUUGAAAGCGGCGUCGGAUAGGCAGAAAUCUUAUGCAGAUCUGAAGAGGCGUGAGAUCGAGUAUUCUAUGGAGGACUUCGUGUUUCUGAAGGUCUCUCCAUGAAAGAAGAUUCUGAGGUUCGAUCGUAAGGGCGAGCUGAGCCCUAGACUUAUUGGGCCGUACUGUAUUCUGAAGGAGUGGGACCGAUUACUUAUCAGUUGGAGCUACCUCCAGAGUUAGACCGUAUCCACGAUGUGUUUCACUUCUCGAUGUUGAGGCGCUACCGCUCUAAUCCCACGCAUAUUGUUUCAGUUGAAGAGAUUGAGGUUCGACCAGAUCUGACCUUCGAGGAGGAGUCGGUUCAGAUUCUAGAUUGCGACGUUAAGGUUCUGAGGAGGAAAUCUAUUCCUUUAUUGAAGGUGUUGUGGCGAAUUCAAAGUACUAAGGAGGCCAUGUGGGAGCCUGAGGAUGCGAUGCAUCAGUAGUAUCCUCAUCUGUUCUGAUCAGGUAAAUUUCAAGGCCGAAAUUUUCUUUUAGGGGGUAGAGUUGUAACGCUCCCAAAUUUAUAUUUUUGUUUUUGUGAUUUUAUGACACACAACUAUAUAUUUGCUUUAGUGGUUAAGUGUUCUGGGGGUGUCUAAGAAAUUCCAAGUUCAAGUCUUUCAUUGGGUAAAUUUUGGUAUUUUUCUGAAUAAAGCCUUCACCUUGCUCAAUAGGCUUAUAUUUAAGUAUUUGUUAAACCGUAUCAGAAUGGGCCUACUGGUCUAGUGGUUAAGUUAAGUGUUAGAUUGCUAAAGGUCUUGUGUUCAAAUCCCUGCGUGAGCAUGGGAGUCUAUUUUUACUUGUUUAGCCGUAAGAGUUUCGGUCAAAUAGGAAUUCUAAGUAGUGGCUAGUUGCUGGAGUAAAAUAAAGGGAGAUGAGAUAUUGGAAUUAUCAGUUAUUCCUUUGUUUUUUCAAAAUUUCAUUUUUCUCUCACCCUCUCAAAGUUUCUGACGUUUCAUUUGUUUUUCUAUUCCAUUCUCCCUGCCGAAAUCCUUCUCUCCACUUCACUAUCAUUACUGUUUCUUUUAUUUUUAUUUUAUUCAUUCUUUCUGCAAACAAGUGACUGAGGAUCAUAGUUUUCGCGCUUUUGAGCCUUGUUUGUGAGUUGAUUAAGUGUGUUUCAUAAUUGUAAUGAACUUAAUAGGGGGCUGAUUUUGGUAUUUAGGUGCAAGAUAAGAGGUGGUAGACAGCCAGUCAGGGAUUGAGUGUUGCGAAAUUACCAUUACUUGCUCAAGAUAAUGACGUUGUUAGAUUAAGGGGAAUGUUCCUUUUGAUGGUAACUUUUAGAAUCGUGAAUUAGGAGAUUAAUUAGAUGAUACUUUGGUCGAACAUAGGUUCUAGAGUGUUUGGGGUUCGUUUUAGCAUCAAACUGUAAUAGGUAUGUACCCAAAACGUAGGAAACAGGGUUCAGCGAAAAGCUAAAAAAUCAUGUUGUCGACACCACAUGGGUGUGUGGUCACCCAUGUGGUAGGCCGUAUACGACAACACGGUCGUGUGAUUGAUGAGGCCAGGCUAUGGGUGCUAGACAUAGCCGUGUGAUGGCCAGGUAGGCUGUGUGUGACACACAGGCUAGACGAAAUUAGGCCGUGUGGGCCACAUGGGUGUGUGGGCCCACAAGGGCGUGUGGAAUUCUGGGCCAAAUCAUGUGUUCCAUACGGCGAAGGCCAAUUUGGGCCGUGUGGGCAGCAUAGACAUGUGGGCCCACAGGGGCAGGCCACAUGGGCGUGUGAGUCUAUUUUUCUGAAAUGAUCUAUAAAGUUGCACGGGUCACCCAAGUCGACUGUGGACCUACUGUAGGGUUGGUAAGCAUUACUUAGACACUUAUUUAUGUGAUCUGAUUAUAUAGUGUCUGACUGAGCAUGAUAUCUGUACCGAACUGAAUGUAUGAUCGGUUAUUUGCAUGUUGCAUGUCAUAUUUGGUAUGUUGCAUUGCAUCGGGGAGGGUUGAUGAUAUUUCGGAAGAAGUGUCUGAAGGGAUUUAAGCUUGUUAUCUGGCAGCUCAGUUGCAUUAUUCGGUUUAUGUGCUGCAUUUCGGUACAGCAUAGUGUGUCGGGAUGGGUGGGUUGAUUAUAUCCCUACAUGGUGUGUAGAGCUGGACAGAGAUGGUGUGUAGAGGCUGGUAGGUAGGAUUCUAAUAUUCUGAUCUACAUUUUUUAUUUGAUUGGGCUGAGGCCCUAAUAUAUUUCUAAUUCCGUAUCCGAGUGGCCUAAGGCCCAAACUAUUUCUGUAAUGGGCUCUGGCCCAGUCUGUGAUUUCCGAUUUCUAGUGAUUACUCUGUACAUUUGAUAUCUAUAGGGAUUACACACUGAGUUGUGAAACUCACCCUUUUCUGUUUAAUCUGUCUAGGUAAUCCCCAGACUUGACGGAUCGGUGCAGCGGAAGACUCUAUGGUGGCCACACGUAAAAUCUUAGACUGUUUUUCGCAAAUUUUCAAAUUUAUUACUUGGUUGGUUUUUGAUGUAAUUCUGGACUUGGACUGUUUGGUUCCUGCUUCGAAACUUUAUAUUGUUUUAUGGUUAUUUAAACGGCAACCCAACAAAAAUGGUUUUUCCUAAAUUAAUUUAUUACAACAACUUCCGCUUAAAAAGGACAAGUUUGAGACAAAACAUCUAGUGCGUGAUUCUUUCAAUUUAAAUCAAGGUUACCUAACUGGAAUGAUUUAACUUAAGAGUUCGGUUUCAAAAUCCAUUCCAUGUGACAUCGCCAGAUUCGGCCAUAACGCUUAAGUCGGGUUUGGGGUGUUACAUUACAAAUGCAGGAGCAUGUGGGUUCGAGUGUGUUGAGGCAUGUUAUCCUCCUAUUUAUGGGUUGGGGAGGGGCUAUGGGUAGUUCUAGGCAUUGUGUCAAAAAGAAUAGAUAUGAUCAGAACCUAUAAUUAGAUUAUUCAAAAAAAUAUGUUAUUUUACGCUAAUUAUUGGAAUUAAAAGUAAAUUUAAAAAACUAAUUAAAUAUUAAACGCCUAAAACCAAAGUUAGUAUAUAUAAAAACAUAAGUUCGGAAAAACUUUUGAAUUGAUAAGAAUAAGCUUUAUUGUUAAUUAUAUUACUAAAUUAAUAUUUAAAUAAAAAUUUAUUAGUGUUAUUAGGUGAUAAUAAUAAAAGUAAUAUUAAUUAGAAAUUAAUUAAUAUGAUAGUAUAUUAAUUAAAAAUUAAUUAAUUUCCUCAUAUUUUUAAAAGUUUUACAUAAAAAAUAGCAUAAUAUAUUAUUAAUUAAUAAAAUUAUAAAUCAAUAAAAUCAUUAAAUAUAAUUAGAUAAAUUAAAAAUAAUAAAAAUUCAAAAUUUUUAAUUAAAUAAAUAUAAUUUUAUAUAUAAAUAUGAUUUCUUUAAAUAUGAUAAUAAUUAAUAAUGUUAAAACCAAUAAUUUAUAAUUAAUAAAAAUUAAAUGUGUGAGAUUAAUAUUAUAUAUAAAAAGAUAAUAUUAAUAUAUUAGUAAUCAAAUUUAUAAUGUAUAAACCAAUUAAUUUAUGAAUAAUGUUUUCAUUAUUAAUAUAAUAGUUAUUAUCACUUAACUAGACUUUGAAUCAAUAUUAAAAUACACUUAUUAUUUUAGAUUAGUUCUCACUUAAUUAGUGUUACAAUUAUAGACCAAUUAAAACUAAUAUUUAGCACUAUAAAUAUAUGUAUUAGCAAAACAUUUUCAUUCAAAAUAACAUAUAAAGUGUUACACAGGGAAAAUUCUAUUUUAUUAUCAUUUAAUAGGUUUUGUUUCAAUCACCAAAAAAUGUAUAAUUUUCAUUAUUGUUUGAGACGUUGAAUUAUUAUUUGAUAUUCGAUAGUUGAUUUCAAUAAUAUUAACAUAAUUGUGAAUAUUGUUUACUAUUGUGUUGUGAAAUGUUAUGUUAAAGGCAAUGAAGUAUUAAAGUAACGGUUUUUAAUAGGUGAAAUUUUGACUCAUAUUCCAAUGACAUGUUAUUUUAUCUAAUUACUUAAUAUUUUACUAAAUUAUUACUUUUAAUAUGUUAUUUUAUUCUUUCAAUUAUUUUUCAAAAUUAAUAGACUUUUAUUAAAAAUUAGACCAUUUAUCAUUUAAUUAAAAUAAAUAUUUUUUUUAAAAAUUAUAAAAUAUAUUAUUUAAUAAAUUAAAAAUAAACAUAUAAAAUCAUAUGCAACGCAUGUGACAUUAAAACUAGUAAUAUAUAAAAAGCACCUUUAGAGAAAUUUUUGAACUGAUGAAAAUAUUUUUUAUUGUUAACUAUUACUAAAUUUACAUUAGAAUAAAAAAUUAUUAUUUUUAUUAUAUAAUAAUAAAAGUAAUAUUAAUUAAUAUGAUACCAUAUUAAUGUGAAAUUAAUUAAUUUUUAUAAUAUUUUUAGAAGUUUUACAUAAAAAUAACAUAAUAUAUUAUUAAUUAAUAAAAUUAUAAAUCUAUAAAAUAAUUGAAUAAAUUUAAAAAUAAUAAAAAUCCAAAAUUUUUAAUCAAAUAAAUGUAAAAAAUCAUAUAUAUAAUUUUAUUUUAAAUAUGAUGUCGAAACCCUUUUUAUUUUGAAAACAAUGGGAAUCGACUUUUGAAAACAAAAAAAAAAUGUGGAGUCGCCACCAAUCUCUUGAUUUAGGUGUGAUUGGGCCACCUAUUAUUCAUGAAAAAUAAAAAAAGUGGGUUCGGGAGUCGGUUACGCAUGAGGAAGGGUUAGCACCCUCAUGACGCCCAAAAAUUGGUACCUAAUUGAUUUGAUGCUGUCCUUAUACCAAAAGGUCUUAAAAGAAAAGAUUUUUCAAAGUAUGAUUUUUUUAAAAUGCUUGAACAGUUCAAAUUAGUAGUAAAAAAUCUCUCGUUUCAAAAAUGUGCAGUAUCAUACCCAGCACGAUUGAAUACGAUCCUUUAUACCUUUAAAAACGCGAUUAAUUUUCAACUUUUGAAAACUCAUAUAUUAAAAUUAUAAAAGGUUAUCCAAAUAUUUGGUUCACCGGAAAAGUCAUACCCAGUACGAUUGAGCAUGAUUUUCCGAAUUCCCCAAAUAUUAGAUAUUGCCUUAUUUCAGAAUUUUUUGAAUGAUAAAAGAAAUUAGAAAUUUGCUCAAAAACAUGUUCAUUUGUUUUAAAAUAGAUGAAAUACUUAAUGCAUUGUAACAAGACAUAAAUUUGCAUAAAAACUUGGGAUACAUGUUUAUUGAAAUAGUUAUUAUAAAAUAAAAAGUUCAAAUCAAAUUAUAUAUGAAAUAUUUAAAACACAAAUUCAUUCAAAAAUUGAUAAUUCACAUGGUAACUUAAAUAAUGUAUUAAAAAUGAAGGAAUUACAAUACAUGAUAUAAAAUAAUAUACAUAAUAAAUUUAUGAAACAUGUAUAUACAAGUAAAAUUGGGUAUAAUUAUUUGUAAAAAAAAUGAAAUUAAUAAUGUAUGAAAGAAACAAAGUAAAUAUAUAAGUUAUAUAUAUGUAACAAAAAUUUCUAAAAAACAAGCUCAUAUACAAAAGGCAAAGCUAUAUUUACACACAAAUUUAGUGAUAUAUAUGAUAUAUAUAUAUUUAUAAGAUUAUAUUUAUAAAGGGAAUUUAGAAACAAAUAAUAUAUAAUUUUACAUGUAACAAAUUGAUUUAGAGUGAUGGAAUAUAUAUGAAUAAUACAUACAUAAGGAUAAUAUGAGAGUAUUCAAUAAAUAAAUUAUAUAAUUUAAAAUAAAAUUCUUACAAGAAAUUCACUAUACACAUAUAUAAUUUCUAAAGAAAAAUGUAUAUACAUAGGGAAGAAAGAAAAUAUUUACGUAAGGUUUUAUGAAAAUAAUAAUAUGCACUAAAAAAAUAAUUUUAUAUGGGUAAUGUAUAUAUGGAUAAAUUUUAAAAAUAAUUGUAUGUCAAAAUAUUAUUGAGUUAAAAUAUGAAUUUUAAUAUUAACUUAAUAUUAACAUAAAUUAUAUACAUAAUAAAUUUAGAAACAUAAGUAUACAAGUUUAUAAAUAUAUAUAUAUAAGAAUAACAUGGCUUAUGUAAUAUAUGUAAAUUAAAUAUAUAAAUGUUAAAAUAUAUGCCUAAUGAUAACUUAAAUGACACAUAAAAUAAACGAAUAUAAAUAUUAAAAAUAUAAAUAAAUUUAAAAGAAAAAAACGACAUAAAAUUAAUAGCAUACAUAAAUUAGAAUGAACUUUAUUGCAAAUAAUAUACAAAUUAUCAAAAUAAUAGAAUAAAAAUGCCAAGAUCAUUAAAAAUAUCCACACAUAUAAUCCAACAUGUAAUAGAACGUGAAUAUACAGUGUUUAACAAACUUAAUUAAAACAGAAUUAAAAUAGGAGGGUCAAUCUACGAAUAAAGUAAUCAUAAAUGGGAUUAAUGUGUAAUGCGCAUUAACAUAUAGGGACUAGAAUGGAGAAUUGUCCAGGCCCCAAAGCAUAAUGUUGCGGUGCAGAUCCAAUUGCAAAAACGCGCAAAUGUUAGGGAAAAUUUAAAAAAACUGGUAAGUUGCAAUUAGGGGCUAAUCAGAAUGCAACACAAAAGGAGAGGGACUUGAUGCAUAAAAAACCCCUUUUGAGCGCAAAAACGAGGAUCCGGGUCUUUUGGACGGGCUGACGCGCGGGUUGCUCCUUCCUAAAGCUGUACCGUUUCAUUAUUUACCCAAAAUUUAAAGGAAAUUGAAUGGCUAUUAACCAUUCCUUCCAAACGCAAGCCAAACACCCAAUUUAUUUAGGGUUUUGACUCAGCAGCCUUUAAUUUCUAAGGCUAUUUCAGCACCAGUACACCAUUAAAAUUGGUGAGGUGUAUAGAAACAGCCUUUAUUUCAAUUGAAAUCAACACUUCAAAGACCAUUUUCAUUUGUGAAUCCGCAUUUCUAUCCCCGAUUUCAACGGAGAAGCCAAGGGAUCUCAUCAAUGCAUUUAGCAAAGGUAAUUUUUCUUUUUCUUUCCUUUUUAAAAAAAAACUAAAAACCAGGUAUAUGCGAAAAUAUAUAUAUGUAUAUAUUGAAGACGAAAGAGGAAAAAAAAUUGAAUCACCUUCUGAUUUCUUUGAUUUCUGGUACUGGAAUUUUGUAGUGUGCGUAGUGUAUAUUCUGUGUGCGUAAAAAAAUUUGCAUGUACAUCAAUGGCUUUUAUAGCCAGAUUCACAAGAUAAAUAAAAAUAAAAAAUAUAUAAAAAAUCCUAUUUUCCUACUGUCGUCUGCUAUGAAUUCUGUUAUUGGCUCCUUCUGGUGUGUUCUUUUGCAGACUCGGUUGUACAGUGGAGUGGAGAGACGUGCGAAGGAGGCCAUGUGAGGAGUCACUCGUGGGAGCCCUAACUCUCUGGCUUAUUCUGGCACGUUCCAGAAGCUUCCAGUGCUGCUGAGAUAUUUUUGGGUGUAUUGGGCCUGGGGUAAUGGGUUAUUUGGGCUAUUUUAUAAAAGAACUUGGACUUUGAUUUAAUUUUGGGCUAUUUAUUUUCUCUUAUUUUUUUAUAUUUAUUAUUUUUAGUUUAUAAUGGGCCGGGCGAAUUGGGCCUAUUACAUAUGAUACUAAUUGAUGAAUUAAGAAUUAACAUUUUAUGUUAUAUAUUACUUAAUACAUCAUUUUAUUCUAACUAAUUAUUUAAUAUUUUAC